AUGCCAGGAUUACCUGAUAUUAC
This 23-nucleotide small nuclear RNA is filed under the name Arabidopsis thaliana (thale cress). RNAcentral describes it as "snRNA_01531". The record is from RNAcentral. Lineage: Eukaryota; Viridiplantae; Streptophyta; Magnoliopsida; Brassicales; Brassicaceae.